Molecule: ribosomal RNA, 253 nt
Filed under: uncultured bacterium
Lineage: Bacteria
Description: partial 16S ribosomal RNA
Rfam family: Bacterial small subunit ribosomal RNA
Source: RNAcentral
UACGUAGGGUGCGAGCGUUAAUCGGAAUUACUGGGCGUCAAGCGUGCGCAGGCGGUGAUGUAAGACAGAUGUGAAAUCCCCGGGCUCAACCUGGGAACUGCAUUUGUGACUGCAUCGCUGGAGUGCGGCAGAGGGGGAUGGAAUUCCGCGUGUAGCAGUGAAAUGCGUAGAUAUGCGGAGGAACACCGAUGGCGAAGGCAAUCCCCUGGGCCUGCACUGACGCUCAUGCACGAAAGCGUGGGGAGCAAACAGG